Molecule: long non-coding RNA, 8768 nt
Filed under: Sus scrofa (pig)
Lineage: Eukaryota; Metazoa; Chordata; Mammalia; Artiodactyla; Suidae
Description: lncRNA (ENSSSCG00005016316.1)
Source: RNAcentral
CCAGAUCCUAAACCCACAGAGCGAGGCCAGGGAUCAAACCUGCAUCCUCACAGUGACAAUGUUUGGACUUUAACCUGCUGAGCCACAAUGGGAACUUCUGUUUUUAUUUUUUAAAAAUUAAAAAGUAAAGCCUUCAGUAUAUACAGAAAAUAGAUAAAAAUCAGUUUGUAUUUUUUUUUAGAACUAGUUAAAAAUCUUUAAAUAUUUUUGUGUUCUCCCUAGUUUAGACCAUUGGGGGCUAAAACAAAUGACUGUAGAAACCUCAAAUAACCAAGGCAUCCGAUGUGUGGUUUGUCAGAUAUGCCUAGCUAGAACAUUUACUUCUCCUGUGACCCAGAUCUAUCUUAAGAAACUAGCUAGCCAGUUCCAACAGCUCCACUUUCUACCUGCUGUGGAUUCCUCAGGUACUCCUCUCCAGUCCUCUCCAUUUAGAGUAACAGUGCUCCGGAUGUGGUAUGGGUACCCCUGGGAAUUUCUGCUACUCUUUCAGUGCAUCUUCAAGAAGGUCAAAACUUUUUUCAUAAUCAGAUGUUAUUUACUGUUUUAACUUCCAUUCUCUCAUGAGUGUACAGAAGAGUUUUUCAUAGGCUACACAACACAUUAUAUAAGAGACUGUAUACAGAAGCAAAUCUGGAGAUCUAGUUGUCUUCUGUUAAUCCAGACAUUAAAAAAUUUGCAACAAUGUAAAAUAAUGCCUCUCACUAAUAUUUUUACUUUUUUUCCUUUUUGCUUUUGUUUUGUUUUCUUUGUUGCUUUUUAGGGCCACACCUGCGGCAUAUGGAAGUUCCCAGGCCAGGGGUCCAAUCAGAGUUACAGCUGCCAGCCUAUGUCACAGCCAGAGCAACAGCAAUCCUGGAUCUGAGCUGUGUCUGCGACCACAGCUCAGGGCAAUGCUGGAUCCUUAACCCACUGAGCGAGGCCAGGGAUCAAACCCCCAUGCUCAUGGAUACAAGUCUGAUUCGUUUCUGUUAUACCAUAAUGGGAACUCCGAAAUUAACAAAUACUUUAAAAAAUCUUUCAGUGUUAAUUUCUAAUGUAAUAAGUACUGCGAGAUAUAGCCCACAUGAACAAAAGCUAUUAGGGGUCCAUAAUAAUUUUUAAGAGUAUAAAGGGAUCCUGAGACCAAAGAGUUUGAGAAGCAUAACUCUGCCUUCAAAGAUAAAGAAAAAAUUCCUAAACUCUCCACACAUCUUGAUUCAAGCAUGGAAAUCUGAGUAUACAGCUUAAAAAAGUAUACAGAGUAAAUACAUAAAGUAAGGAAAAUAAAUACAGAAGCACUGAAUCAUUCUAUAGUAGAGAAGGGAGGGACAGGGAUUUUGGAUUAUCCUGGAUCCCUGGAUCCAGAAAAAACUACUUGAAUUUAAUUGCAUAUGCUACUUUGAGCAUCCUCAGGCAGGAAUGUAGACUUCAAUUAUUUUCCCUAAGAAAAAAACACAAUCUUCUUUACCUUGAAGUAAACAAAACUGUCCAAGGGCUGCCUGAUAUGGACUGAAUUGUGCCUUCCCCACCCCCAGCUUCAUAUAGUGCGGCACUAAUUCCCCAGUGUGACUAUAUUUGGAGAUAGAGCCUUUAAGGAGGUAAUUAAAGUGACAUGAGGUCACAAGAGGAGAGCUGAUAGGACUGCUGCUCGUAUAAGAGGAGGAAGAGACACCACAGCUCUGCCUGCACAUGCAGAAGAAAGGCCAUGUGAGGUCAUAGCAAGAAGGCAGCCAUGUGCAAGCCAGGAAGCGGGCUCUCACCAGAAGCCAACUACACCAGCACCUUAAUCGUGAACUCCUAACCUCCACACUCUUAAGAAAAAUUUUGUUGUUUAAGCUACCCAGUCUGUGGUAUUUACCCAAACUGGCUAUAUGCGCCCUGCCUAUAUUCUGUUUCCACAUAAGCACUCCAUAAAUAAAAUGAGUAAGAGGGAAAAAAUGGAGGCAUUUUAAGGAGGAAGAAGAUGCUGAAUAAAUGUCUUCAUGGUGCACACAUCAUAAUUUAUGUUAUGUGGCCACUAAGGAGAUGCUUAUGUUUUGUUCUCAAAAUGUCAUCUAAUUUUUUCCCAUUGAUUAACAUCAGGACAGAAACACCCACAUUUUUUCCUCCAGGUUAAUGUCAGAUCUAAAAUUCAUGCUCUCCUAUCUCAGCUCACAUUUUAACUAACACUAUUAGGUAUUGUGUUCUGUCAACUAAUAGAGAGCCCUGCCUCUCGAUGGCUUUGCAACUUGACAGUCAUGAUGCAGCUUCACCCCCCUUUACCCUUUCCAUAGGGCCACAUGAAUGCUUAUGCGUGACCAAUUCAUGCCUCCUACCGGUUCUGGAAUAUCAAGAAAUUCCUUUUUAAAAGUCAAACCUAAUUGGCUUGGGAAUUGUUUUUGUGCCUCUCUAAUGAAGGGCAAACUAUCCCAAUGGCAGGUCAGCCAGCACUUGCAGGGAAAGAAAAUUGAUUUAACUCCACCAAAUUGCUCUCAAAUGCACAACAGCUCUCUAGCUAUGAAAAAGGCACAGAAGAUAAAAGGAAAACGUUGGGGUCAUUCCUUAAUUUUGAUUUUGAAAUGCUUUAGAGUAAGAUACUCCCUCCCUCUAAGAAGCUUCUUCCUUCCCCUCAAACACAGAAACCAGAUCUUGUUUAGCACUAUCUUCCCUGUACAAAGCACUGAGUCUAAAACACAGCAAGUGCUCAAAAUGCAUUUCAGUGGAAAGGGAAGUUGGAUAAACACUGAUAAGAAUACUUUUUAAAAAUGAUUUGAAAUUAUUUGCUAUAGAAAAAUUUAUAGAAAAUGGAAAAGCACUGAAACUUUACUUAAAAAAAAAAAAAAGAAAAGAAAAACCUCUAAAUUAAAAGAACGUAAGGAUUUCCCUGGUGGUUCAGUGGGCUAAGGACCCCCACUGUCACCUCUUUGGUGUGGGUUCAAUCCCUGGCCUGGGAAUGGGAACUUCUGCCUGACACGGGCAUGGCCAAAAAAAAAGAAAAAGAAAAAAGAACAUAAAACUGUUAUUUAAAUCUUUAUUUUAGAGUUCUCUGAUAUAAUAUUAAACAGUCUCAGAUAAUCUUUACUGAUACAAAAUGUAUGGAACACCAUGUUAGGUGCCAACUUUAGGAGCAACAAAAUAGGGGAGAACUGUGUUUUUAUCUGUUAAAUGUAAAUGAUAGUUCCUAGUUCCUUGCUGAACAAGCAUGUAUGUUCUUUACAUAGAAUUCAAAAGGUAGUUUUAAACAUUGAGAAAAUGAAUCCUAAACAAACGGUUCCUCCAAUUUCAUAAUAUACCUUGUGCUUCUUUGAGCAUCCUUGGGCAGAAACACGGACUCCGGUAACAUAUUCCUGUGGGAAAACACUACCUUUUUAAAUGCUGAUGCAUCCUAGGGGCAAUUAAAAGCCCACUAUGAGCAAAACCUCUACUCUGUUUCCAUGUAAUCCAUCCAGGUAUCCACCAAAUACUUGAAGGAUUAUUCCUUACAUCCUUCACCUUGUUGUUUGGUCCAAAUCACUACCUUUUAUGUUUCAGAAGUUCAAAAUAUUGUCUUUGUGAGAAAAACAAAUAAACAAAAACUAGAUCCAGAGACUCCUGGCAGGGUUGAAGUAAGGAGGUAAUUCAUAACAGAUUCUCAGAGCCAAAAGCUGCUGCCAAGUUACAUUUAUUCAGCAAAAAUAAUACUAAAUAAAGGUGUCACAAUCGUUAGUAGAAGUACAAAUUCACUAGUAAAACUAACUUCUUAGUAAGCUCCUGUGAGGAAACAGAACUAUAUAUAGGUAUGAACUCAAACACACAUUAUAUUAAAGGCCUGUGUGUUUGCAUUCCUGAUGCCUAUGAUACUACACGCCUUGUUACCAGUAAAUGAAGGAACCUUCCUCUAUAGCUUCAUGCUAACACUACCCCUUUUUGUCUUAAAUUUUUCACUAUUUCAGCCUCAUCUAACAAACUAGAGUUAAUACCUGAUCUAAGACUGAAGCAAGUUCUACUUGUGUGAAUAAUGAGGUGUUGCAUAUUACAUUUGCUUGAAGGAACCAGAAAAACAAACCUAAGCCAGAAUUAAAUCGGAUGUAGAAAUGAACAGUUCCUCUACCCUUGGGCGACACUUCCCUGAAAGUGUUACAAAUGCAUAAUUGUUAACAAACAUGAAAUGGAAAGAAUCCUUUCCUAUACUGACUUUAGUAAACAAGAUACAAGAAAUACCAUAUAUUUCCCAAUUUUCAAGAUCUCUCUAUGGCUGGAAUAUGUCAAACCACCAUGCAUCUCAGACUUCAGUGAGUACCAGAAAAAGCUUUAAGUUUCUAUGCAUAUUUUAGAUAUUUCAGACUAAAGAUGUUAAAGCAUCUUGGUAAAUCCUUAGGACCAGGAUUUGAAUGCAACAGCCUAUUUUGCUAUACUAUGCAGCUGUCUUGUAAAACGAGGUAGAUUCAUGGACAGAUCUCCAAAAUGAAAAAGCGAAAGCACAAAACCAAAUGCAUCUAAGGAAAGCUGUAUUAGAUGGGACCUGUGCUUCUCAAAGUCUGAUAAUUUUUAAAGAGACUAUACUGAUGUCUGCAUCUGUAUACCUUAAAAAAAUUAAUUCUGCUGGAAUGUAAGCUCCUCAAGGCCAAAGACCAUAUUGCACUCAUAUUUGUACUCGAGCUUUAAGAACAAAGCUUGGCACGAGUUAACAUACAGUGAAGGUAUAUUUUAACAUAUUUAUUUGAGGGGGUAUCUUUUUAAAAACUAUUAUCUUUUUAAAAAUAAAUAAGUGGGGACGUGUCAAAGAGAGAUUUUUAAAAUACAGGUUGAGGCAGUUUAAAGUGGUAUGCAAGAAAAUUUGUAUUAAAACAUUCACACCAUGCUUCUUCUCUGACCCCACUCCUGACUUCCCAAUAGAAGAAUGCAUCAAGGAGACAUGGAAAAUUAAUUUUGGUUUAUUUUUAGUCUUGGUGAUAAAAAUAAAAGAUGAAGAAAAACUAUUAGCACGAUGUAAACAGGAAGAAAUUCAAAAUAAAAAAAUGGAAAAAUAACAACAAGAAAGAGCAGAAUAUAACUAGGUAGAUUUGAACCCCAGCAUUAUCUGGUUUCAGUAAAAUAGAAUUAAACCCAAAGCACUCAUCUCCUACAACAUUUUUUGUUAUAUAUAUAAUAUAUUUAUCUGGUUGUUAGCCACAGUGGACUUAAUAUCAAACCAAGAGGAAAAUAUAAAAUUUACAAUAAUGUACAAGAUUCUGCUGAAUUACCAGCACUCCAAAACAUUGGCAAUUUCACAAAGGAAAUAAUCUAGUUACACUACUGGCAAGAAGACACCAAAAAGCAUCAAGUUAACAAGUGCAAUAUAAUAUUCCAUGGGCUAAAAAACACUAACAGUUCAGAGUACAGGGAGCAUUUAGUUCUUUACCCUUAUAUUUAUCAUUAUGACAAUGACCAGAAUUCACAUAAAGAUAUGCCAUUCUAGUCACUUAAAAGAGCCAAUAUCCUUGUGGGGGAAAAUAAAAUUAUUUUAGCUUAAUUUUCAAUUUUCGUUUCCUUUUCCAGGCUAAAUUAUUUUACCCUAAUGUUUAUAUCAAACAUGUCCUCCAAACUUACAGUCUUUAUCUUAUAAAGUAUUUAAAAAAAAAUCUUUCCUCAUAACAUUGGUCCCACAGUCCUUGACACUCCUCAGGGAGCCUCUUAGAAAAAUUUAGUUAUAAAAAGUAAUUGAAAAUGUCAAUGAUGACUUAAUAUUUAUGUUCAUUAAUCUCUCAGGCAAAGCCAUAAAGUUGUAAUACCUUUGUAAGAUCAAAAGCUUAAAGUUUGUUUUUAAUUCCAUCAACCACCUGGAUAUCAUUUCAAAAAAACCUUGACUGCAUAAUUCCUUAUUUAACAUAAAAAAAUGUCACCAGGUAUAAUAAAUACCUAUGAGUGAUUUAACAGAAAAUACAUAUCAUUGAAUAAGAUCUGCAAAAGACGUGAGAGCUCUUCAAUGUACAAACUGCUUAUGAGUUAGAGAAUACCUCAACUGAUGAAUAAAUCUGUAAGACUUGAUCUCAGAUGGAUUUGAACAAAAGGAUUAUUUUGUUAGUAAUUCUCUGAAGUAUUUUUCCAUCAGACUGAUAAAACACAAGGUAAAUGAUGAUACGAAAUCUACAGCAAAAACUCUGCCAUCAAUAUACAACCUACUGAGGAUCUGUUUGAUUAUCAUUAACCUAUUGUUUUGGCCACUUCCAUGGCAUGUGGGUGUUUGUGAGCCAGGGAUCGAACCUAUGUCACUUCAGUGACAAUGCUAUAUCCUUAACCAGCUGCACUAAAGAAGAACUCCCGUCAUUAAACUAUUUUUUUUUUAAAUAGUGAUUACCCAAAAGUCUGAGAUUGCAACCACAGUUUUUCUACAAAUAGUCACUGUCACCUCAUUAGCUGCCAUGUAAAGCUCCUAUGCAUGAAUUCUUCAAGUCUUUAUCUCAACAGCAUUUCCCAAAUUGGCAAUUAAUUACAACAGGACUAUGUUUCACCUUCUAGGCUAGCCAUGCCUUAGUAAACAUGUGCUAAUUUCAGCAUACUAUAUUUAUUACCUAAUCUCCAAGUCAGACUAGACCCUCCUUCCCACAGUGAAUUAUUUUUCUGUGUGCUUUCUCCAAAUGGAAAGUCAUAAGCCUCUCAGUAGCCUAUGUGGAUGCAGAUGGAAGUGAGGCUACUAUUUUAAAGAGCAAUGCAUUUCUUAUUCUCACAAACACCCAAUACUCUACACUCAGUGUGAGUUGUUUCCUUAAUUUAGGCACCCAAUCUAGAUACUGAAAGGACAAUGUCAGUGGCCCGAAGGAUCUGGGUACUAAGCAUCUGGUUUAAAGAGCAGACAAACUACUGCUAAAGAUAUAAGGGGAAACCAGCCCAAACUUACAGGCAUGAUCCUGAUAAAUCUAGGACACACUAGUUCCUCCUGCCAGGCCCCAAGGGCCUUACUUAACCAUUGAAGCCCUUUUGAUAAUUAUGGGACUAGGAUAAACUAGAUAAAUACUAUGCUACUACUGUCUUCAAAUCACACUACCAAUACUAACUUAAACAAAGAUUCUCUUAAAUGUUGAGCUCUCCUCAAUCACUCUCACUAAACUCCAUUUUUCCUCUAAAGGGAACUCUGGAAUGGUGUAAUGCUGUUGAAAUGACAAAUACUCUAACAACCAUUUAAAUCUUAUAAAAUAACAAUUUCAGCAAAGUCUCUUUGCUCACCAGGAAGUUCCUCUACGACACUGAAUGACACCUGAGGCAGUUGUCUGGGAAACACUGCCACAUAGCCCUGAUCACUGUGUGCUGUGAGAUCCAGGAAGGAAAGGAGCACAGCCAACCAACAGAGGUAACAGUUCUCACUGAGCUUCUCAUUCUCCUGUUUUCUCAGCUUAGUAAGCUCUUACUGCAGAAACAUCAAAAAGCCUCCUCAAACAUCCUUCCUCCCAGAAGGCUACUGGCUCCCAGAAGGCUACUGGCUUAGCCUCCCCCAGUAGCACCAGAGGCUGAAGAAGACUGGAUCAUCCAACCCGCCAAUCUACAGAAGUCCAGACAACAGGCUAGAGUUUUGUUUCAGUGACUGGAUUCUUAAAAUAUGUGGGAGGAAAGCCCAGAAGGACCUUCAUUAAGGAAAAGAACUUUAAAGGUUUUUCUGCAGUUGAACUUGAUUCUCCAUUGUUUUUUUUCAAACUCCCCUGGAAGCAAAUGAAGUGAUUUCCUCCUAGUUUAGAUGCUGAGGUUGGAAUUAAACAAACAAACAAACAAACAAACUGGUUCAUUGCUCAACCAUAAACAUUAGUAGAAAAGCGAAACAAAACCAGGCAAUAAAGAACAGUGACUACUACCAUGGUGGUCCUACAAGGUCAACGGCUCAUUAGUCCUCUUUUUUUAAAACACAUUCAGGAAAGUGAACAGUCUUAACUCACAAGAAACUUUGACUUUUCUGACUAGGAAAGAGAAGUACAUAGUAUGAUUAAACACAUGACAAAUGUUUUCAGUCUUCUUCAAAUGCCAGUCUUAACCCAUUCACCCCCUCACCUCUCAAUUCUUUCUGUCCAACCAGACCCACCUACCUCUUCUUUCCAACCCUGACUCUAUCUUUCAGCUUCAUACAAGUGUCCUCCCCAACACAGACUCCUUUCCAAGCCAAAGUCUUGCAAGGCUCAAGGUAUGGCCGUUUUGAAAAUAACUGCCUAUCAGCUUCUUCCUUACUUAAAUCUCUGCAUGUCUUUCAUCUUCAUCACUAAUGUCCCAAUUUUACCUAAAGAUCUUUAGAUUCAAAGUUCUACAGGCACUCCCAAGACAAUCACAAAUGGAUUACAACAAUGAAUCAGGUUAGAGGUGAUUAUAGGUUACAGGUCAGGUGAAUCCUGACCACUCUUUCACAGACACAGGAAUUGUUACUGUCACAUUUAUUGCACAGAAAUAACAGGGCAGUGCAUAGCCACCUUUACAAUGGCGACUGGAUGUAAAAGAAGCUGUACCACCAAGGGCUCCAAAAUUUCCCUCAUUCCCACUCCUAGUUUACCGUAAAACUCUUAAAACAUACAUAUCUAAGGAUUAAAUUUUUUUUUUUUUAAAAAAAAGACUAUAUCUCUGGUUGUGCCAAUGAUAUUAUGGAAAAGCAUUGCGGUGUUAGCUCUAGCUUCAACCUCCUUUGGUUUUCCAGACAUGAGGUAACUAAUUAAUAGAACAUGGAUAUACUGAUCUCCUCACCUCAAGACUCAAGAACGAUAGGGCUAAUUUAGCUCCAUCCCAACUUCUGGAAUAACCCUGGCUAAGCAUCUCUAUAGCUCAAUCUCCUAAUAUACUCACAGGGAGUGCCAAAAUGCUGCAGUUCCCUAAAAGGAGUA